RNAcentral lists this ribosomal RNA (427 nucleotides) under uncultured bacterium. RNAcentral's name for it is "partial 16S ribosomal RNA". It matches the Rfam family "Bacterial small subunit ribosomal RNA", at positions 355 to 774 of the family's 1533-position model. The record is from RNAcentral.
UGGGGAAUAUUGCACAAUGGGCGCAAGCCUGAUGCAGCCAUGCCGCGUGUAUGAAGAAGGCCUUCGGGUUGUAAAGUACUUUCAGCGGGGAGGAAGGCGAUGCGGUUAAUAACCGUGUCGAUUGACGUUACUCGCAGAAGAAGCACCGGCUAACUCCGUGCCAGCAGCCGCGGUAAUACGGAGGGUGCAAGCGUUAAUCGGAAUUACUGGGCGUAAAGCGCACGCAGGCGGUCUGUCAAGUCGGAUGUGAAAUCCCCGGGCUCAACCUGGGAACUGCAUCCGAAACUGGCAGGCUAGAGUCUUGUAGAGGGGGGUAGAAUUCCAGGUGUAGCGGUGAAAUGCGUAGAGAUCUGGAGGAAUACCGGUGGCGAAGGCGGCCCCCUGGACAAAGACUGACGCUCAGGUGCGAAAGCGUGGGGAGCAAACA